RNAcentral lists this ribosomal RNA (649 nucleotides) under Schoenus ornithopodioides. RNAcentral's name for it is "eukaryotic LSU rRNA". The stretch from base 247 to 401 matches the Rfam family "5.8S ribosomal RNA". The record is from RNAcentral. Lineage: Eukaryota; Viridiplantae; Streptophyta; Magnoliopsida; Poales; Cyperaceae.
AACAAGGUUUCCGUAGGUGAACCUGCGGAAGGAUCAUUGUCGUUUGCUCGGAAAAACAUGACCCCUGUGCACGUAACCUAAUCUACCCUCGCCGGGGGGGCGUCGCCUCCCCGGCCCACCGGCCGCGGCCCUUGCUCGGGCGGCGCGCCGGGAAUACGGCGCGGUUUGCGCCAAGGAACAUGAGAUGCUGAGGCGGCCGGCGGAGCGUGCUCCGCCUGCCGUCGACGCAGAGGAAUAAUACACGAUGACUCUCGGCAACGGAUAUCUCGGCUCUCGCAUCGAUGAAGAACGUAGCGAAAUGCGAUACGUGGUGUGAAUUGCAGAAUCCCGCGAACCAUCGAGUCUUUGAACGCAAGUUGCGCCCGAGGGAUCCGCCUGAGGGCACGCCUGCCUGGGCGUUAGAAGCCCAUCCACGCUCGGUGCGCACUCAGCCCCGAUGCGGAUCGUGGCCCUCCGAGCCCAAGCGGCGCGGUGGGCCUAAGUGUGCGGCCGCCGGGAGGAGCCGGGAGCGGCGAGUGGUGGAACGCUGCGCGCGCCGCCCCGCGCCCCUCUGCCGGCGCAUGGCCUUGAACGACCCUCGGACGAGGAGCCGCGCCUGCGAACGGCGCGGUGCCCUCGGAUCGAUACCCCACCAGACAGAAACACCUCA